CUGGCAGGCAAACCUGCCCUGCUGUUUACCCACUACUACAGGCAAAGUCAUGCAGAGCCCCAGCCGGAGGUUAACCUGGCGACCUCUGAGCUCGAACCUGAGACCCACGAGGUGGGCUCACCUGCCGAGCUCCAGCUAGAGGUCAACAGGGAGGCUCCAGCACCAGAGCUCAACCCUGAGGUCCAAGUCCAAGUCAAGUCUCCAGUCUCUGAAGUCCAAGUCAAGUCUCAAGUCUCUGAAAUCCAAGUCAAGUCUUAAGUCCCUGAGGUCCAAGUCCAAGUCAAGUCUCAAGUCCCUGAGGUCCAAGUCAAGUCUCAAGUCUCUGAAAUCCAAGUCAAGUCUCAAGUCCCCGAGGUCCAAGUCCAAGUCAAGUCUCCAGUCUCUGAAGUCCAAGUCAAGUCUCAGGUUCCUGAUGUCACGUCCAAGCCUGCUGAUCCAGUUGACCAAGUUCCGCUAAUAUCUAAGCCUAACAACCAAGUUCUGCUCACGCCCAAGUCUACUGACAUGGCCGACCACGUUCUGCUCACACCCAAGUCUACUGACAUGGCCGACCAAGUUCUGCUCACGCCCAAGUCUAACGACACGGCCGACCAAGUUCUGCUCACGCCCAAGUCUAAUGACACGGCCGACCACGUUCUGCUCAAGCCCGAGUCUACUGACCCGGUCGCCCAAGUUCAGCCCAUGCCAAGUCUACCGACCCGGUCACCGAAGUUCAGCCCACGCCCAAGUCUACCGACCCGGUCACCCAAGUACAGCCCACGCCCAAGUCUACCGACACGACCACCCAAGUUCUGCCAAAGCCCGAGUCAGCUGACAUGCACAGCCAAGUUCUGCUCACGCCCGAGUCUGCUGACACGGACAAUCAAGCUCUGCUCACGUCCAUGUCUGCUGACAUGCACAACCAUGUGUCUGU
This is a long non-coding RNA of Ictalurus punctatus (channel catfish), 913 nucleotides long. NCBI's taxonomy places the organism in Eukaryota, Metazoa, Chordata, Actinopteri, Siluriformes, Ictaluridae. The record is from Ensembl.